This 345-nucleotide unclassified non-coding RNA is filed under the name soil metagenome. Its description in RNAcentral is "partial contains 5.8S ribosomal RNA, internal transcribed spacer 2, and large subunit ribosomal RNA". The stretch from base 1 to 120 matches the Rfam family "5.8S ribosomal RNA", at positions 35 to 154 of the family's 154-position model. The record is from RNAcentral.
GAUGAAGAACGUAGCGAAAUGCGAUACGUAAUGUGAAUUGCAGAAUUCAGUGAAUCAUCGAGUCUUUGAACGCACAUUGCGCCCCCUGGUAUUCCGGGGGGCAUGCCUGUCCGAGCGUCAUUGCUGCCCUCAAGCACGGCUUGUGUGUUGGGCCUCCGUCCUCCUCCCGGGGGACGGGCCCGAAAGGCAGCGGCGGCACCGCGUCCGGUCCUCGAGCGUAUGGGGCUUCGUCACCCGCUCUUGUAGGCCCGGCCGGCGCUUGCCGACACAUCAAUCUUUUUUCCAGGUUGACCUCGGAUCAGGUUGGGAUACCCGCUGAACUUAAGCAUAUCAAUAAGCGGAGGA